GAUGAGCGCUAGCGGCAGGCCUAACACAUGCAAGUCGAGGGGCAGCACAGAAACAGCAAUGUUUUGGUGGCGACCGGCGGACGGGUGCGUAACGCGUAUGCAACCUACCUUUAACAGGGGGAUAACGGAGAGAAAUUUCCACUAAUACCCCAUAACAUCGAUCAAGGCAUCUUGAUUGGUUGAAAACUCCGGUGGUUACAGAUGGGCAUGCGUUGGAUUAGGUAGUUGGUGAGGUAAUGGCUCACCAAGCCUACGAUACAUAGGGGGACUGAGAGGUUAGCACCCCACACUGGUAAUGAGACACGGACCAGACUCCUACUGGAGGCAGCAGUGAGGAAUAUUGGUCAAUGGGGGCAACCCUGAACCAGCCAUGCCGCGUGCAGGAAGACGGCUCUAUGAGUUGUAAACUGCUUUUAAACAGGGAUAAAGCACAGUAUGUAUACUGUGUUGAAGGUACUGUAAGAAUAAGGAUCGGCUAACUCCGUGCCAGCAGCCGCAGUAA
This 502-nucleotide ribosomal RNA is filed under the name uncultured bacterium. Its description in RNAcentral is "partial 16S ribosomal RNA". It matches the Rfam family "Bacterial small subunit ribosomal RNA", at positions 28 to 523 of the family's 1533-position model. The record is from RNAcentral.